RNAcentral lists this long non-coding RNA (734 nucleotides) under Marmota monax (woodchuck). Lineage: Eukaryota; Metazoa; Chordata; Mammalia; Rodentia; Sciuridae. The record is from RNAcentral.
CAUUGUCAGCAGCUGCUUUAAGCCUAUUUGGUAGGCAAGAUUUCUCUUAUUCGUUUAUUACUGAACUACUUAAUGCAUGUGUAAUGUGUGCCAGGCACCAUUUGGUGACAAUGGACAAGAAAGGCAGUCAGCUUGUGCCUUUGUGUAGCAUAAGCCCAAUGUGUAAGGCAGAAAACGAACAAACAGUUUAAGAGGAUGGUAUUGCAGAUGGGGAAGAGCUGGGGCCUAUGUGGGCAUACAACAUGAUAGCUAAACAGAUCUGAUAAAGAAGAUGAGAUGGCACACAACUUUGAUGUGCUGGUUGAUGAGGCAUAGAUGUGUGAGGAGAAACAGUCUCUUCAGUUUUAGAAGAAGCCAUUGAUCCUAUGACUCAUCAUCUUUGUUAAUACAAGAUGGGGGAGGUUUGUUCCAUUGAUUAUGGUGAUUGACUGAAUUUAGUUUGCCUUGAUACAGCUGUGUGCCUUGCCUCCAACAUCUGCUGUUUUGAAUCUCCUGUAUCACUUGAGAGUUACCAGCUUAUUCAUUUAGCAAAAUAUGUCUGUCAGAGGAAAGUGGAGGAGGAGCCCUCAUGUCCCAGACCUCAGAAAGUCCUUUGAACAGUGUCUGAAAUGAUACCUGGUGAAUGGAUGGCCUCAAGUAGAUCAUAUCUGCCCUAUAAAUGGGAGUUUGCUUUGUUCAGCUCCUGGUCCCCAUGACCUUAGGGCUGGAAAGGACCUCUGUAAAAUGGAAACAUU